RNAcentral lists this transfer RNA (75 nucleotides) under Microcaldota archaeon. Its description in RNAcentral is "Candidatus Micrarchaeota archaeon (hot springs metagenome) tRNA-Pro". Lineage: Archaea; Nanobdellati; Microcaldota. The record is from RNAcentral.
GGGGAAGUGGGGUAAUCUGGUUAGCCUGCGAGCUUUGGGAGCUCGCGAUCCCGGUUCAAAAAACCCCUUUCCGCC